Molecule: ribosomal RNA, 271 nt
Filed under: uncultured bacterium
Lineage: Bacteria
Description: partial 16S ribosomal RNA
Rfam family: Bacterial small subunit ribosomal RNA
Source: RNAcentral
UACGAAGGGGGCUAGCGUUGUUCGGAAUUACUGGGCGUAAAGAGCACGUAGGCGGCGCGUUUAGUCAGAGGUGAAAUCCCAGGGCUCAACCUUGGAAUUGCCUUUGAUACUGGCGUGCUAGAGUCCGAGAGAGGGUGGCGGAAUUCCCAGUGUAGAGGUGAAAUUCGUAGAUAUUGGGAAGAACACCGGUGGCGUAGGCGGCCACCUGGCUCGGCACUGACGCUGAGGUGCGAAAGCGUGGGGAGCAAACAGGAUUAGAAACCCCAGUAGU